GGGGGUGACUGGUUUCGACUUCGUUCGUGGAGACAGGGGAAGCGAGCCGAGGAAGCCGACGUCGUCUCGUGAAUCGGUCGUCGGAACUUUAUAAGCGCCAAGCCUAGUGCUCAGCGCUUCGCUCUCGCCGCCUGAGUGGUGUAGAGCGAGCUGUCGGUCUGGGAUCGCCUUCGGCCCAGUUGCCGGCAUCAUUGAGAAGGCUGGCCAACACGCCCCGGUCGCGGGGGCGUCGCGGUGAGAUCAAUCUGCGACUGGGCCCGUCACACCAACUUGCUCGCGUGAGCGGUGGGGCCGAGUAGAGACAUAGCGAGCUGCGCUCGGAGAAGCCCUGACGAAGCAACGAAGGACCCGGGUUCGAUUCCCGGCACCUCCACC
This 375-nucleotide transfer-messenger RNA is filed under the name Pilimelia terevasa. It matches the Rfam family "transfer-messenger RNA". From Rfam's summary of the family: Bacterial tmRNA, also known as 10Sa RNA or SsrA, is named for its dual tRNA and mRNA-like properties. Its role is to liberate the mRNA from a stalled ribosome. Lineage: Bacteria; Bacillati; Actinomycetota; Actinomycetes; Micromonosporales; Micromonosporaceae. The record is from RNAcentral.